This 230-nucleotide ribosomal RNA is filed under the name uncultured bacterium. Its description in RNAcentral is "partial 16S ribosomal RNA". It matches the Rfam family "Bacterial small subunit ribosomal RNA", at positions 524 to 752 of the family's 1533-position model. The record is from RNAcentral.
UACAGAGGGUGCGAGCGUUGUCCGGAAUCACUGGGCGUAAAGGGCGCGUAGGUGGCGACCCAAGUCGAUGGUGAAAGCUCGCCGCUCAACGGCGAGUCGGCCACCGAUACUGGGUUGCUCGAGCACUGUAGAGGCUAAUGGAAUUCCGGGUGUAGCGGUGGAAUGCGUAGAGAUCCGGAAGAACACCGGUGGCGAAGGCGGUUAGCUGGGCAGUUGCUGACAGCUGAGAC